AUUUUAUUUCAGAAAGUAUUCAAAUUAUAACCAAAUUAACUUUGAAACGUGCGUGAUUUCCAUCGGUGGGCGGUUUAAAUCGAUUCAAAUCGUUUCCUCGAUGUUUCCUGCAACCGUUAAAAUAUAACGCAUUAUCGUAGUAACAUGUCACCUCUAUGCUAUCGCCGCGGACGUCUACAUUGCAUUGGGUUCCAUAUAGCUGGAACAUAUUAUACGUUUUACGUUGCAGUGAUUCGUAAUGAGAACAAAGGACGUACGAGUCGUAAGACAAGUCAAUGUGUUACAAAUGCCUUGGCUUCCAAUUCAACGUUCGUCUCUCGCGGAAAAUGUUGACGAAUGAAUAUCGUUCGGUUUUGCAUUAUUUCCGUAAUAAUAUUAUAAUAUUGUCACGCGGUGUUUAAACGUUAAAAUACCGUUUGUCGUUAUCCGCAGCGGUUUGUGUGUAAAGGUCGCGCGCGCAUUGGGAAACCGUGUUAUUUAUGGCGUUUAACAAAGAUAUUUGAGAAAUCGUUAAGUACCCCGGAUAAUUACACCGGUGUCGAAAUAUUAUAAUAAAUCGACGACGGCGUUGCGAAAUAAUAUUACGUUCCAAUAAUAUUAGAUAUAUUUCACACUAUACACACGAGUAUAAUGACCCGUGCGGCCGUAAAAACAGUAUAUUGAGCAAUUGGAAAUCGUUCGAUCGUUCGGGCGCGCACGAAUUUUCAGGCGAACGGUCCGCGACAACGAAAACGCGGUGAGAUCCAUUGAAACACGAGUUUUUUGUUUUUUAUCAUAAAAAACCGGACGCACUUCGUACCGCGAUUAGCCCACUGUCGUAGGCAUGGGAAGUUGAAAAGGUAAAUAUCGGGUAUAAUAUAUUGUGAUUAUAUAUAUGGUGAUUGCAGAGUUCGCAUUCUGAAAUCAACGAUAAAUCAUUGCGACGACGGUAUUAGGUUGUAGUAUAACAAUUAGUAGUGUUUUUUUGCCUCUGUUGUAAUCAAAAUAACGCAGGAAUCGAUAGAAAUAAAACCGAUGUAU
This is a non-coding RNA of Cinara cedri, 1020 nucleotides long. Lineage: Eukaryota; Metazoa; Arthropoda; Insecta; Hemiptera; Aphididae. The record is from the annotation of a GenBank genome assembly.